UGGUUUCUACAAUAAUGCACCUCAAUUCCAAUUUGUGGAGAGGAAAAAUGUUAUCCUAAGUGUUGAUCAGGAAAAAACAAGCGAAACAGACCUUUUCAAGGCUGUGACAGAAGCAAAGGCUCUUCUCGAUCCACUGAGACUCAUCUUGACAGAGUACACUAGCUAUGUUGAUACUUCUUCAGCACCAGGUCACUAUGUCUUAUUUUGGGAGAUCAAGGGAAAAGAAGGCAAGCAUUGCAAAGAACUUGACCCAAAGAUAAUGGUAGAGUGUUGCUCUAGAAUGGAAGAGUCAUUGCAUUAUACAUAUAAAAUCUACAGGAAAAGGAACAUAAUUGCAGCUUUGGAGAUUAGGGUGGUAAAGCAAGGAAGUUUUGAGGCACUAAUGGAUUACUAUGUGUCCAAAGGAACUUCAUUGAGCCAAUACAAAAAACCUAGUUGCAUUAAAUCUGAGGAAGCCUUGAAGAUAUUAGAUUCAAGAGUGAUAGGAAAGUAUUUCAGCCCCAAAUCACCGUUAUAAUUAGUUUGCAUCAGUUCUUGUUUAAGAUUACCUAAUCCUUCCUAUGUAUAAAAACUCAGGAGAAUAAUCCUUUUCACUUUAUUGUGUAGGAAUACAUUAAUGUUUGGUAAAGUUAUUAAUGUCUUGUUUCGAACUCAAAGGCAAGCAAUUGUUACAGUUACACACGUAUUCUCAUGUAAUUUUCUUAUGAAUCGUUUGAUACAUUGUGGGAAAGUUGAUAUGGCAACAUCAAAGGGCUUUAUAUGCAUGGAAGAACAUAUUUGGGAUAUUUCUUAACGUAGUGCCUGAUGCUCUCUAUAAGGUAGGUAAAGUGGAAGAAGUUGUAGAAUUGAUUGAUGAGAUAAAGGGUAAUUUCCCCCUGAUAUUAUUUACUACACCACUUUAAUCAAUGGAUAUUUUCUUCAAGGUAUAGCUAAAGAUGCAUUGAAUUCAAGGUAUAGCUAAAGAUGCAUUGAACUUGUUCAAGUAGAUAAUGGAGAAUAGUCACAAGCCUUUGAUAUUGUUUCUUACGGUGUCUUUGUUAGGGGCUUAGCUAGAACUGCUCUUACAGAAGAGGUGAUCAAUCUUUGGGAUUAUGUAGAGACGCAAGGUUUGAAGUGUAACACUAUCAUGCACAACAUGGACAUUAAAGGUUGACAUUAAAGGUUUAUGUAAAAGUGGGAAGGUGAAGGAAGCUGAAGCCUUCUUACAUACGAUCAAUUUUGAGGAUUAAUUGUUACGAUCAAUUUUGAGGAUUAAUUGUUACACCUCAAACCUGACUCGAGAGUCCAGUCAAAUUCGAAGCGUUACAAUAAUUAUUGGAAUGAUGCACUCAAUCAAUCAUUCAAUUAAUGUGAUUAACCAAUUAAUUCAUUUUAAUAAAUUUGAUUAUCAAAUUUAAAAUAAAAGAACUCAAAUAAAUUAAUUUUUCAAUUCAAACAUACAAGGAUCGCUUGCCUUAAACUAAAUAUUUAACCAAUAUGAAAAUAACCCACAAAUCCAAUGGACCUAAAUACAUGCCAAAGUUAAACUAAGUGAAAACGUUAUCACAAACUAAGGAUUGCAAGGACUCUUUGGUAAUGCUAUUCGAUCUAAAACUUAAAAAUCAUCUAUAAUUGGUGUACGGAAUUAAAAAUCCAAACGCUAAGCAAUUUAUAGCUUAGUGGUGAUAUAAUACAUUUUAAACUACCUAUACUUAUAGUAAAAUAAAAACAUUCUAAUAAGAUAUACAUAUAUCUAUCUCUACUUGGAAUUAAAAACCAAAUAUAUCACAAGCAAUUAAACACCUAAAUUAACUUAGCUAACCGAUAUCCAAUAUCAACAACUAUUUGAGUGAGCGAUCAGCGGCUAUUUUGACGAUGGACCAGCAAUAUUUUGGAGGCAAGCAAUGGGGCAAUAAACAAGGCUUUCGGAUGAAGAUUUGAUGGCAAUUUGGAGGCACAUUUCAGGGGUUAGCCAAUUCUUACAUAAAUAAAAAUCCUAAUCUAAAAAUAAACUACAAUCCCAAUUUUUUAGGGUUAGCCAAAAAAAAAAAUCCCUAAUUUGAUUGUAUAAUAUAAUAUUUUGGGAAGUUUACCAGUCAAAUAUACAUAUAUUUGGUAAGGGAGAAACAAAGCAAGUUUUCCAGCAAAACAUAUGUAUAUUAAAAUAUUGUAUGUAAGCUAACAUUGGGUUGCCUAUUGUAGGGUUGGUGUUAUUUUGGUGGCAAUUUUUUAUUUUCAUUUUCUUCUCUUUUCAUUUUCCAUUUGAAAUAUAUGCUUCGACUGAUUAAAAAAUUGUUUCUAAAAAUCCUGUGUGUUGGCCUAAUUGCAAUAAUGUUCAUUUAAGUUCAAGUCGCGUUGCUAUUACGGCUUUAUCCUCCUCUUAUAAUCCAACCAAGAAAAUAAAGUUAUUUUCAAUCUUUUGAAUUUUGGUUAAGUUAAUACUAAAUUUUUAUAUUAUGCUGAUUACUAAAAUUAAUCUUUUUUAUUUGUUAUUGAAUUAUAUUCAUAAUUUUCAAACGAAACUUAAAUCUUAAUUAAUAAAUUAGAGAAUGAAUUAAAGUUUAUGAAUUAAUGUUGCAAUUUUUUAUUUUGUUUUAUAUAAAUUAAGAUAUAUUAAAAUAUUUUUUAAAAAAAUUUGAAGCGUUCCACUUAAAAUUUUAUAAAAAUAUUUAAUAACAUAAAUGUUUCAUUCGUUAGUUUGGAUAUAUUAUAUUAAAGUGGUUUAAAAUUUAAAUAUAAAAGUUAUAUGUUCAUAAAAGGAAAAAAGAAAAUCAAAAUUAAUAUAAAUAUAUUAUAUUCAUUUCGUUGAUUAAUAAAUUUGCUUGAUGUCAUUGAAGUAAAUACAAAAAAAAGAAAAGAAAAGAAAAGAAAAGAAAGUGAAAGUAUAUUAAAUAUGUAUUAAUUAAAUUUUUUUUCUUCGGCCUGACUCAAAUUUCAAUUAAAUAAUUUUAAAAUAUAUUUAUUUAAAUUUAAUUAUAAUAUUAUAAAAUUAUAUAUUUUAUUAUUGUAAAUUAUUUUUGACAAAAAAGGACCCGAAGGUCACUACCUUAAAUUAUAUUGCAUCCAAAAUAACAAUGUUAUGGAUAUUGUUAGGAUAAUUCAUUUCAAAAUUCAAGUUCCAACACUUAGAAAGAGACCAAUUACAAAGCGAAUCAGCUAAUUUGUUACAACCACGAUUUACGGAUUCGAGCAACUUGCGAGCUUCCUUGAUAUGAUGCCCAAUAAUCGUGAUGUCCUCCUUAUGGUAACAAAAGCGGUUGACAAUGCUUGCACAAUCCAUUUCAAAGAUGACUUUAUCAACGUUGAGAAUGUGAGCAAGCCGAAAGCCGUCGAUGAGAGCAUCCAACUCCGCCUGCUCAGGGCUAACCACUUUGUUGAAGAAAGACGCUUUAUUGCUCAAAACAAAGCCAUCGGAAUCUCUAGCGAUGAUGCCCAAGCUUGUGCCAUAAGAAUUCACGGCAACAUCAACAUUAACUUUUAUUACCCCUUUCGUCGGCUUUUCCCAUCUACAACAUCUAGGGACUCGGGAUAAGAUCAGUUGAGAAGAAAGAUUGUGAAUCUGGAAAUCAUUGUUGAGUUUACGGGCACGCUCCCGAAUCACAUUCGCAUCCUCCUCCUUACCUCUAAAGAUGGCACUGUUUCUACCAUUCCACAUAUUCCACAAUGUAGGAAUCAAAUCUUGGAAGACUUUUUUGUCUAAAAUCCGCAUGGAGCCUUCAAUCCAAUCGAUGCAAAAAUCACAAUAAAAAUAUUGAAAACAACCAAAGUGAAUAGAUAAUUACUAAUUAUGUUAUAAAAAAACAAAGAUUAAGUGAUAAUAGAUUAACUUUCAAACCACAAUUAAUACUACAAAUUAAUAACAUUAUCCAAGUGCAUAAUUAGUAGUAUAUCACAUGAUAUACUACAAUAUUUUUCAAGUGCAUAACUAGUAUUACACCACAUAAUUAGUACUACACCAUAUUAAAGCAUCAAUAUCUUCAAUUUAGAGAAAAUUUUUGAAGCCAAAUUUUUUUAUGCUUCGUACUUUUAGCUAAAAAAGCUUUGGCCUUAGAUUUACAACCCACAAGAUAAUCAAAUACACUACAAAGGAAGUCGUCAUUAAAUCUUUCUAACUCCAUCCACAACACUUCUUCAUAAGGAAUAUCUCAAACAAAGGAACACUAACUGAUGCAAUAGCAAGCUGCUUGACAUAAAAGAGAAUCAAUCAAACAAGGUCAUAAAACAAUCAUUGAAAUUACAAAUCAAUAAGUAUGAGCAAGAAGUAUAAGAAAACUUGAGCCAAUUCAAAAUGUAUAAACAAGAAAUGCUCGUAACAGCAACACAAAUACAUGUACAAACCAACAAACAAAUGAUCUAUAAUACAUAUGAAAAAAGGGAGUGAUUACCUAGGACACAAAAUUAAACACUAUCAUUCAAUUGAAUCAAAAUACAUCUACAAACCAACAAACAAACUUAAACUUAUACUAAAAUAAACGAUGAAAUUCUCUUUUAGAAAAUACAAAGGUAUUAGUUGUUUUGUUGUGAUCAUGAAUCUAUUUACAAUAUCAGAUAUGGUUUUGUUAUUUGUUUGUUAUUAUGUGAAGGAAUACCAUUUAGUAUAACACUACCUUAAAAAUAAAACGAAUAUAGAGUCCAAAACUAAGGAAGUUGAUGUUAAUAAAGAAAAAUGCUUGGUAAGCCAAUGACAAACUAUUGCAAACAAAAACAGUUACAACCUAUAACAUCAAAAUUAAGAAAAGAAAGAUAGAUAGAGACAUUGAAGCAGGAAGUGACAAACACAACAAGCAAAACCACUUAAGUUUCGGGUUUUAAGAGCACUAAAAUCUAACCUCCAACCUUAGUAGAUCUAAGAGAGAAAAAGAAACACCUGUAUUACAAAAGCUAUUUGGCUUCAGCUUGAAAAAACUUGAAUUCAUCUUGACCAUCGUCAAAUCAAGCUCGAGCUAGAGAAAGAGCUGAAUUUGAGUAUUUGAGUCAAGCAUUUUAAGAGCUUAAUCGAGCUUUUUCUUUUUAAUUACUAUUGUUUCUAUUUGAAUCCAAACUUGAGUAUAAAAACUGUGUAAUAUCAUGUUUUUCAGUGGUGUCGAAAACAGUGAUUUCAGGGUCACCAAAUCCGACGAGUAAGUUCGUAAAUAUUAUUAUUUAAUAUUUACGAGACAAGUGUGAUUUUUAACAAAGUUUUUGAUUUGAUAAUUUAUGUUAUAUAAGUGAUUUAUUAAGUUCAAGUGGUUUUAGAAAAUAAGGUAUUGGGGCCUUUUUUUUAUAAACUGAGCCGUAAAUAUUUUUAUAAAUAUUUACGGAGUGUCAUUUAGGUGGUAUUAAAGUUUCGUUAAGAAAUUUUAACGUUUCGAUUGUUAAUUAAUUAAAAAGGACGAAAUUAAAAAAAAGUGCAUUCCCGAGACUCCAUUUCUGUAAAUCGGACUUGUAAGUUAGUUGUGUAGUUAAUUAGGUUUCAGUUAAGUGAAUUUUCUUGAAUUAAAAGUAAUUAAGUAUAAGAACUAAAUUGCAUAUAGAGUAAAAAUUGAAUUAUAGAUUAAAGAAAAAUUAAAAAGACUAAAGAAGGAAUUAUGCCAUUGCCUUUAGUUAAGGCGGCAUAAGUUGUAAUAUAAUAUAUAUUGUAUAAAAUAUAUUUACUUAAUAUGUAAGUAUAUAUUUUAUAAUUAAUAAUAAAAUAAAUAAAGAAUAAAUAAAAAGAAAGAAAGAUAGAAACGAAACAGAAAGAAAAAGAAAGAAAGAAAAAAAAAGGAAAGAAAUGAAAGAGAAAGCCACGGCCUUAGGGGCUUUAAUUAUUCAAAGUUCAAUUAGUUAGUUAAUUUAGUCCAUUUUUCUUUUAAUUUUUAUGUUUUUGGAAUUCCGGUAUUAGAUACUACUCGAUUCAUGUCAAAAUUUUGGAAAUUAUUGAGUUUUUAAAUGUUGUUUAUGUUGAAUAAUUUGAGUCUUAGGGAUUAAAUUGAUAGAUUUUUAAGUUAGAAAUGAAAAAGGAUUGAAUUGUAGAAUAAAUUGAAAAGUUUGAGUAAUAAGGACUAAAUUGUGAAAAAUUCAAAAUUUAGGGAUUGAAGUGAAAUUAUGGAAUUAAAUAUAGUUUAGAGUGGAAAUUGAAUGAAAAUAUAGAAUUAAAUGUGAAAAAAUAAAGUUAGUCUCGGUUUAGGGGCUAAGUUGGAAUUUAGGCAAAUAUUGAGUAAAAAUUGAAAUUUUCAAUAUGAAAUUGAAUUGUGUUUUAUUGAUGAAUUUUGAUUGUUUUAAUUCCAUAACUAACAUCGUAUUAGAAUCCUCGACUAAAAAGGGGAAAGAUAAAGUCGACUUGAAAUAGCUCGGAAUUCCUAGUUUCUAUUUCUAUAGUCCGAAACUAGUUAUUAAUUGUUGUAAUAUUUAUUUAAUGUAUAUGCUAAGUGUUGAGGUGAGAAUUAUUAUGUUUUGCAAUUUAAAUGGAUUGAUUUAGUAUGUGAUGAAUUUAUUGAAUUUAUAUUGAUUGAAUUUGUAUAUAUAUAUAUUGAAUAUAUUGAUUAUUUGAAUUGAAAUGAAUAUUGGAUGUAUUUGAAAAGUGAAUUGGAACCCUAUUAACUGUAUCGGGCUGAGUCGGAUAUAGAUGGCAUGCCAUAAGAUUGGAAGAGUUCAGGAAUUUCUUUGACUUCGAGUCAAUGAGACACUGAGUGUCAAUUUACUACUUCGGAUUAAUUCGAUGAGGCAUUGGGUGCUAAUUUACUUCGGUUUAGCAGAUGAGACAUUGGGUGCCAAACUGGUGUGUUUUGGUUGGAUCCGUGUAUCCGUCUGAGUAUGGUAUGGGAAAUGGAAGUGAAAUAGUGAAUUAAAAAUAGAAUGUGAAAUAUGUUGCAAAUAUAUGGAAAAUAUCAGUUAUAUAUUCAUGAAAUGACUAUUGCAAAUAUAUGGAAAAUAUCAGUUAUAUAUUCAUGAAAUGACUAUGGAAUGGAUAUUGCAAUUGUAUAAUGAAAUGUGAAAUAAAUUGUGAAAAGCUAUUUAUAUAGCAAGUAUAAGAAUUGAGAUAUUUGUGAAACAAAUGAAAUAUGAUAUGGUUGUUGUAAUAAUUAAAUAUUAAUAUGUGUUUAUAUUUAAAUUGUAUAUUUGUAAUUUCUUAUCUUUAAAUAUUCGGAUUAUAGAAAUACCAUUGAGUUUAUACUCAACUUUCGAUUUAUUUUUCCAUGCGCAGGUUAGGUACUUAAGUUUGAUCGCGAUUUAGCAUUCAACAACGAUCCCAAACUCAAAUGUGGUGAUGUUUAUCCUUUGUGUCGGUAUGUACCUAGGGUGUUUAAAUAAUAGUUAUUUUUUGGUUUGAUUGUCAAUGAGGUUGUAAGUUUAAUUUUGGUUGGUUUUAUACAUAUAAAUAUGUGUUUGAUUGUUGAAGUUAUAUUAUGGCAUGGUAAAUUGAACUAAAUCUAGAUAGGUGCAUGUGAAUUUAAUUUUAUGUUUAAGUGCUCAUGAACUAGGCAAAUUGAUUUGGAUUUGGUAUGUUUAUAAUUUGGAUUAAAAUAAUGCUUUGAUGACUUGUUUUGAUGAUAUGAAAUUUAUGUCUGCUUGAUCUGUAAACUCCGGUAAUACUCUGUAACCCAAUUCUAGCGAGGGAUACGGGUUGGGGGUGUUACAAACUGAGUUUAUAUUUCACUUUAAUUGAGGUUCAUCUAGUUCGACUAUUAUUUCAAAUUGCUUCAGCUAUAAAAGCAAAAUUCAAUCAAACUCAAGUUGAGCUUGGAGCCUUGCAUUUCAGAUCGAGUUUCGAAUGGUUUGAGCUCGACUACACCUUGUAAAUUGACCUACCCUUUCGAUUCAGAUUACAUUACUCACUUGCAAAAUCAAAAAUAUACAUACAUAUUGAUACUAAAAGAGAGCAAAAAAGUUGAACCAGAUCAUUUUAACUUGAAAUAAGAUUAUGUCCAAGACAAUAACGUCCAUAACUUUUGCAGCAAUUAUUAGGAAAUUACUAACCAAAUUAUUGUCGCAUCACGAAUAUGAAUUGCCUAAAAGUUUACAAGCAAACUAAAAGCAUCCAAAUAAACAUUCAAAAAAAGCAUUUUUAACAUUCUGUUCCACUAUAAUUGUUAGUAUUUAACAAUAAUUCAUCAAAAUGAAAUACAAAAAGAGAAGAAAAAACAUGCAAUUGAUUCAUUAGAUCAAUUAUUAGAGAAGGGUAAAUAGAGAAAAUAUACCAUAAUGGGUCAAAAUUCAAGCUAAUCAAUGAUUUAUAUAAGAAAAAAAGGUUUUUUUUUACCCCAAGAAAAAGGGGGAAAACAAAAUUGAUUUCUAUUGGAAGAAAAAAGAAAGGGAAGAAAACAAAAUCAUGCCCACUAAUCCCAUUUGAACAAAUAACGUAUGAGCUUAAAGGCUUUAAAUUUUUAAUCAUUAGUUGUGUCUCAGCCACCACCACCACCAUUACCAUAUCUUAAUUAUUCCAUUACCACUAACAAAAAUCUAGCUUGCACAGUUCAAGGAAGAUGAAACUUAAAAAUAAUAAAAACCAUAAAAAAAACUAAAAAAAGAGGGAUUAACCAGUAACCAAUUAGGCUAAAACAAUAUGUUGCUACUAAAAAACAAUCACAUAUUUCUUCCUUUUUUUUAAUUGUUACCUUCGAGAGAGGAAGAUGAACACCAUCGUUGAUUGGUGCAGUGCAAAUUUUGACAAUGAAAGGCGAAAAGGAGGAAAAUUAAAGGUGAAUGCCGACGACUAGUGUUGAGAACCAUUGCUGGCCGGCGGCAAACACUAGAUCAAAGUGGGAAGGAAGGGGGAAAGGGAAAGAGGCUUUGGGUUACUUUACUGCUGAAGAAAAUUUUUUUGGAAAAUAUCUUACCAAAUGAAAACUGUAAGACAUUUUCCUAAAAUAAAACCUUCUUUUUUCGUAUUUUGGAGAAGGUUUUACGAUGGGAAUUCAUUUUCCAUCAAACAAAUAGUAAAAAAAGAUAAAAAUAUUUUUCGUAAAUUAUUUUACAGCUAAAUAAACACAGUCUUACACAAAAUAAGAUAUAAUUGAUGAGAUAAAAUUAUAAAAAUCAUAGAUAAACUAAACCUCUUUCUACCUAAAAUUAUUUGUUACAUUGGCUUUUGAAGUUUGGAAGAGGCAUAAAUUGGUACUAAAUUACAUUAAAUUCAACUUGCUUAUAAUUAUUUUAUAUCCAAGCUUAGUUUUAAUAUAUUUAAUAUAUUACUAAUUCAUGUUUUAAUCAUUUCAUUGAUGCCACAUUGUUUAUUAUGAGUGUCGACAUGUGUGGGUCUAGUCCCGUGAAUCUUAUUGUAUUUAGCGUAGGUAGAGAUUCCAUUGCCAAUAGCUAGAACAUCCCCAAAAAGAAAACAGAAAAAGCUGUCUGGAUCUCAGUAAUAGGGUUGAUGGCAACGAAUGGGUAUGAAGGUGGGUUGAAGACGAUUGAGGAACUGACCACAAAUGCUGAGCAAAUUCAAGACGAGGUAUUGAGGGAAAUACUAAGUCGAUAUGCAGGAACAGAGUAUUUAAUUCCUCCAUGGUCAAACCGAGAAGCAGCUCUUUAAGAAAAAUGUUCCCAUAGUUACGUAUGAAGAUCUUAAGCCUUACAUAGAUAGGAUUGCUAAUGGGGAGACAUCAGAUAUCCUUUUAGGUGAACCCGUUACAGGGUUCUAUCUAAGGCAUGCAUGAAUGUGUUGUGUUGCUUCUGUGUGUUUUGGGGUAUUGGUUGCUUCCUUCUAAUUGCUCUAUUAUCUUUUUUUUCAAAUGCAGUUCUGGGACUUCAGGUGGGCAGCCAAAGCUGAUGCCUGUUACUGCUGAAUUUGCUAAUAAGUGGGAAUUAUUUCGUGGCUUGUACGAGUCUUCUGUGAUAAAGUAAGGAACCCAUCCCUAUUUUCUUCUAGUUUUUCUUUCAGCUGCUUGUGAAUAUAUGUAUAUAAGUUACCAUAUUAAGCAAAUACAUAUAAUAUGAAUAUAUGUAUCAUAUACCACGCAGAUAGUAACACCCGUAUUUAGUAAAUACUACUUGUCCAUAUAUAGGUAUAAUAUAAAUAGUUGCUUUUCUUGCUUUUUGCAUUUACAACGGCGACUUAGUCCUAAAACUAACUAUUUGCCUUUAUCCGUCUAAUUUUAAAGGCACUUUGGUGACAUCAACCAAGUCGGUAAAAGACUGGAGCUUAUGUUUGCCAGACCAGAGAUUGAAACUGCUAGUGGCCUCAAGGCAGCAUCUGUUUCAACCAGCAUAUACAACGAGUGUAAUUUUAGAACUAUUUUGCCUAAGCUUUACACAAGCCCCAUUGAGACCAUCUUUUGCCCAGACCCCAACCAGGGCUUAUACUGUCAAUUACUUCUUGGUUUAAUCCAACGAGACGAGGUUAUCACGGUUGGUUCAAUCUUUGCAUCUACGGUGUUAAGAGGUAUCAAGUUUCUAGAAAAUCACUGGCAAGAGCUAUGCUAUGACAUAAAAACAGGUCGAUUAAGUGAUUGGAUCACCGACUCAGGAUGCAGAAAUGCAGCAUCAUUGGUCAUGAAGCCUAAUCCAGAACAGGCUGAUUUGAUAGAAAAUAUAUGUAAUUGUAAAUCAUGGGAAGGAAUAAUCAGAAAGCUAUGGCCUAAAGCAAGGUAUAUUUGUUGCAUAUGUACUGGCAUUAUGAGACAGUAUACUAUAGAACUCGAGUUCUAUUGCAGAGGGCUCCCUUUAGUUUCAGAUCUAUAUGCUUGCUCGGAAGCUAUUUGUGGGAUUAACUUAGAACCUCUAUGUAAACCUUGUGAUGUCUCCUAUACAUUUCUCCCUAACAUGGCUUACUUUGAAUUCCUUCCUGUGGAAAAUGAUCACGAUGAAUCUAUUGAAAUGAAGAGGAACGAUGAAGAUACUGAACUUGUUGAUCUUGUAAAUGUGAAGGCUGGUCAAUGUUAUGAAUUAGUUGUCUCAACUUGUGCAGGUAAAAGUUCCUCCUUUGAAUUUGUUGGUGCUGUAACUGAAACUAAUAGAAUCAGUGCAAACUUGUCAACCAAGUCUCGAGACUUGCUGAGCAAACAAGAGAAUUCGAGCCAGGAGAAAGAAAGAAAAAGCUCAGAAAAUGAAGAGGAAAAUUGAUGAACAAAACUAAACUUCAUUCAUAGGUUGAACAAUGGCAUAAUGCCAAUACAUAAACCAAGCAAUUUGCUUGUCAAAAUCUGCAUAAUGAUACCUAAUCAUCACCUACUACCACUAAUACAUUGAAACUUGAAAAACUAAGCUUGCACACUUAAACAAAGCUGACUUAACAGCUUAAUUGUCAUCAAAAUACAUCAAUCAUAAACCUAACAUUGUUCUAAAUGAACUAAAGUACAUUACAUUAACUUAAGAUUACAAGUUGAACAAAAUAGGAAUAGUUCAGCUCGUUCCAGCAGCUCCUGCAUGACUUGGUCUUGAUGGCCUGCAUGCUGUCGAGUUUGCUGCAUGCUGAACCAACUUCAUCACUCCUCCUUGGUUUGCAUGGAGCAAACACCUAGCAUCUUUCUUAGAUAUUCGAACCUUGUGACACUAAGAGCUUUGGUUAAAAUGUCAGCAAGUUGAUCCUCUGAAUUACAGUGGAUCAGCUUUACUUCCUGAGCUUGCUCCAUUUCUCGAACAACAUGCAACUUGAUGCUGAAAUGUUUUGUUCUUCCAUGGAACACUAGAUUUUUAGCAAUUGCUACUGCAGAUUGGUUGUCACAAAAGAUCUCAGUAGCUUCAUUUUGAUGCACAUUCAAGUCAGCCAAUAUUUUCCUUAGCCAUAUGGCUUGGUUGACAGCAUUUGCUGUUGCCACAUACUCUGCUUCAGCAGUAGAUUGAGCUACAAGACUUUGCUUCUUUGAGCUCCAACAAAACAUGGCUGAACCAAGGUUAAAAGCAUACCCUGAGGUACUUUUCAUGUCAUUUAUCGAGCCAGCCCAGUCACUAUCAGUGUAGCCAACCAGCUUCAGAUUUCCUUCUUUGCUGUACUUCAAACCAUAGUUUAAAGUGCCUUUGACAUAUCUCAGCACUCUCUUUGCAGCUUGGAAAUGCUUCUCAUUGCAGCAAUGCAAGAACCUUGAGAGCAAUCCUACAGCAUACAUGAUGUCUGGUCUAGUGGCAGUCAAGUAUAGCAAGCAACCAACUAGACUCCUGUAGGUUGUUUCACAAACUUUCUUAAAAUCACCUUGGCUCGAUAGUUUUUCUCCAACAGCAACAGGUGUUUUAGUUGCCUUGCUGUUUUGCAUGGAGAACCUGGUCAGAAUCUUUGUGGCAAAGCUUCUCUGGCUUAAAAUUAUCUCAUUCUGUACUUGAGACACCUCCAUUCCGAGAAAAUAUGACAUCUCCCCAAGAUCAGACAUUUCAAACACUUCUUGCAUCUUGGUCUUGAAGUCAGCCAGCACUCCUCUAUCUCCUCCUGUCACUAGAAGAUCAUCAACAUACAGGGAUACAAUGAGCUGUAUUUGUGUCCCUUGUUUCUUGACAUACAGUGUUGGCUCACUCUUGCUUCGAUCGAAUCCCUGAUCAGUCAAGUAGCCAUCGAUUCUGCUAUACCAAGCCCUUGGAGCCUGUUUUAAUCCAUAUAGGGCCUUCUUCAGUUUGUAGACCAUAUGCUCUCUGCCAGCUAUUUCAAACCCUUGUGGUUGUUCAACAUAGAUGUCUUCAUCUAAGAAACCAUUCAGAAAGGCUGAUUUCACAUCAAGUUGAUGGAUCUUCCAUUCGAGCUGUGCUGCUAAGGCAAUCAGCAGUCUGAUGGUGUCGAGCCUGGCCACUGGUGCAAAGGUCUCCAAGUAGUCCAAGCCAUACCUCUGACUGAACCCCUUGACAACUAGCCUUGCUUUUAGCUUGUUCAAGGUACCAUCAGCAUUCUGCUUGGCUUUGUACACCCAUUUCACCCCAAUCACCUUCCUUUUGACUGGCCUUUCAACCAAUUUCCAGGUCUGGUUCUUCUCAAUCAUGCUGAUCUCCUCAGCCAUUGCCUGCUUCCACCCUUGUUGAGCCUCAGCCUCUUCAAAGUUGCUUGGUUCAGCUAUGGCUACAUGAGCCCUUUCAUAAAUCUCAGCCAAUGACCUUGUUCCUCUGACUGGUUCAUCAUCAAUAUCCAUUUCAGGGACAUUUUGGUCUGGCUCAGCUUGGUCUGCUGCAAGUUCUUCAGAAACUUCUUCAGGUUCAUGUCUUUCCCAGUUCCAACAUGACCUCUCAUCAAAUACCACAUCCCUGCUUAUUGACACUUUGUUUGUUGAAGGAUCUAAAAUCCUAUAUCCCUUCUUAACAGUGCUAUACCCCACCAAAACACCAGGUCGAGCCCUUUCAGACAAUUUGUCCCUUUUAACAGCAGGUACAUGUGCAUAACAGAUGCAUCCAAAGACCUUCAGAUGAGCCAAUGAUGGCUUGAAGCUAAACCAGGCCUCGAAUGGGGUCUUUUGAUCCAAAGCCUUGGUUGGAAGUCUAUUUUGAAUGUAUGUUGCAGUGUUAACUGCUUCUGCCCAUAGUGCUUUAGGCAGAUUCUUCUGAAUCAUCAAGCACCUGGCCAUAUCCAUCAAACUCCUAUUCUUCCUUUCACUUACCCCAUUCUGCUGAGGUGUAUAUGUGUUGGUAAGUUGAUGUUUGAUGCCUGCCUUAUCAUAGAAGGCUUGGAACUGAGCUGAGGUGUACUCAGUCCCAUUAUCAGACCUUAUGGUCUUCAGCUUGCAGCCUGUUUCAGUCUCAGAAGUAGUCUUGAACUUCCAAAACACUGAGGCCACCUCUGAUUUCUGUUUUAAAAAGUAAAUCCAGCAAUAUCUCGAGAAAUCAUCAAUGAACAGUAUGAAAUACCUGUUUCAACUUAAUGACUCAGUCUUCAUAGGGCCACACACAUCAGUAUGCACCAGUUGGAGUUUUUCAGAGGCUCUCCAGGCUUGAUUCGAGGGAAAUGGGAGUCUGGCCUGCUUUCCUAGCUGACAUACAUCACAUACAUCAUCAUGGUCCACUGAGUUGAUGAAAUUUUCAGCCAGGUCCUCUCUGACCAUUCGAGCCAUCGAUCUGAAGUUAGCAUGUCCCAGUCUUUGAUGCCACAGCUUGGAUUCAUCUGAAGUGGCUGUGUAGGCAAUGUCUGACUUUUUUGUCCAGUCAACCACAAAGCUCUUAUCAGCCAUAGGGACUGCCAUCAGUUUGGAUCCACUUGGAUCACUGAUUUGGCACUGGUGGUCUUUAAACACAACUGAAUAACCUUUUUCCAGCAACUGAGCUAUGCUGAGCAGGUUUCUGUCAAUUUCAGGCACCAACAGCACAUUUGAAAUCACUUUGGUACCUGUAAGGGUGCAUAUUAGCACAUCACACUUGCCUUCAGCUUGAAUAAAAUGACCAUUUCCUAUCUUGACUUUAGUUCUGCAGCUUCUGUCUAAAGACUUGAAGAUUGCAGCAUCAGGUGUCAUGUGGUUGGUGCAUCCACUGUCUAGGAGCCAACCAGAUGAGGACCUUUCCUGAGCAGCUGAGCAUGACACAGCAAAGACUUGCUCCUCUUGGUCACUGUCCUCCUUAGCUACUCGAGCCUCAGCUUUCAUCUUUUGAAACUGAUUCUGCCUCGAUUUGGUCUUACUCUUGCAGACUCUCUCAACAUGACCCUUCUUCUUACAAUGCUGACACACAGCAUCUGGAUUGAACCAGCAUUUUUCUUCUGAAUGACCAGUCUUUCUACAGUGCUUGCAAGUCUGACCUUCUCUCCUUGCAGCAUCAUUCUUUGGCUUGUCUCUCCAGGCCUUCUUGCCUUUGUAGGCAGUAUUUGUUCUUGCCUGAAAGGCACCUUCUUGGUGCUCCUCCAGUCUGCUUGCUCUCCUCUGCUCUUGAGCAUAUAGAGCAUUGAUCAACUCUGUCAGGGAGAUGGUGGACAGAUCCCUUGAGUCCUCGAGAGAUGAGAUUUUUGCCUCAUACCUCUCAGGCAGAGUUGCUAUAACCUUCUCCACUAUCCUAGCUUCAUUGAACUGCUCUCCAAGGAGCCUGAUGCUGUUAACCACAGCCAUAAUCCUGUCAGAAUAUUGCUUGACAGUUUCUUCUUCCUUCAUCUUCAAAUUCUCGAAAUCUCUCCUCAAGUUUAACAACUGUUGCUGCCUUGUCCUCUCUGUCCCUUGAAACUCUUCCUGCAACUUGUCCCAGGCCUGUUUUGGUGAUUCACAGGCCAUAAUCCUUGUGAAAAUCACAUCAGACACUGAGUUUUGGAUGUAAGACAUAGCUUUGUGCCUCUUGGUCCUUUCAUCAGCAUGCUGCCUGAUCUGAGCCACUGUUGGAUUAGCUCUAAGUGGCUCUGGUUCAACAUCAGAGUUGACCACCUCCCACAGAUCGAAAGCCUGCAGGUAGGUCUUCAUUUUGACCACCCAUAUGUGAUAGCCUUCUCCAUUGAAGACUUGAGGUGCAGCUGGUGAAAAGCUUGAUGAAGCCAUGGAAUUAUGUAACAGAUCCCUUAAGAAAUAGGCUCUAGAUACCAAUUGUUGGUGCUGUAACUGAAACUAACAGAAUCAGUGCAAACUUGUCAACCAAGUCUCGAGACUUGCUGAGCAAACAAGAGAAUUCGAGCCAGGAGAAAGAAAGAAAAAGCUCAGAAAAUGAAGAGGAAAAUUGAUGAACAAAACUAAACUUCAUUCAUAGGUUGAACAAUGGCAUAAUGCCAAACAUAAACCAAGCAAUUUGCUUGUCAAAAUCUGCAUAAUGAUACCUAAUCAUCACCUACUACCACUAAUACAUUGAAACUUGAAAAACUAAGCUUGCACACUUAAACAAAGCUGACUUAACAGCUUAAUUGUCAUCAAAAUACAUCAAUCAUAAACCUAACAUUAUUCUAAAUGAACUAAAGUACAUUACAUUAACUUAAGAUUACAAGUUGAACAAAAUAGGAAUAGUUCAGCUCGUUCCAGCAGCUCCUGCAUGACUUGGUCUUGAUGGCCUGCAUGCUGUCGAGUUUGCUGCAUGCUGAACCAACUUCAUCAGAAUUUAAUCAAUUAAUAAAAUGCCAUCUUCUAAUUUUGCAUUAUGCUUCCUAGUUCCUACAUUAACCUGUUAGAUAAUGAUCUAAUCUUGUUUGAUGGUAUUCCUUUCAGGAUUAUAUCGAUAUAAAGUUGGAGAUGUUCUUAUGGUGAGUGGUUUCUACAAUACUGCACCUCAAUUCCAAUUUGUGGAGAGGAAAAAUGUUAUCCUAAGUGUUGAUCAGGAAAAAACAAGCGAAACAGACCUUUUCAAGGCCGUGACAGAAGCAAAGGCUCUUCUCGAUCCACUCGGAUUCAUCUUGACAGAGUACACUAGCUAUGUUGAUACUUCUUCAGCACCAGGUCACUAUGUAUUAUUUUGGGAGAUCAAGGGAAAAGAAG
This 16214-nucleotide long non-coding RNA is filed under the name Gossypium barbadense (sea-island cotton). RNAcentral describes it as "long non-coding RNA (GBAR_LNC004765)". The record is from RNAcentral. Lineage: Eukaryota; Viridiplantae; Streptophyta; Magnoliopsida; Malvales; Malvaceae.